CAUCCUGCCGGCGGCGGCGCUGCGUCCCGGCCGUACCGUGGUCGACGGCAGCCCGCAGCUGCGCGCCCGGCCGUUCGGGCCGGUCCUGGAAGC
This 93-nucleotide transfer RNA is filed under the name Actinoplanes auranticolor. Its description in RNAcentral is "tRNA-Gly". The record is from RNAcentral. Lineage: Bacteria; Bacillati; Actinomycetota; Actinomycetes; Micromonosporales; Micromonosporaceae.